This 237-nucleotide ribosomal RNA is filed under the name uncultured bacterium. Its description in RNAcentral is "partial 16S ribosomal RNA". It matches the Rfam family "Bacterial small subunit ribosomal RNA", at positions 99 to 334 of the family's 1533-position model. The record is from RNAcentral.
CGAACGGGUGAGUAACGCGUGAGGAACCUGCCUCAAAGAGGGGGACAACAGUUGGAAACGACUGCUAAUACCGCAUAAGCCCACGGAUCCGCAUGGAUCUGCGGGAAAAGGAUUUAUUCGCUUUAGGAUGGACUCGCGUCCAAUUAGCUAGUUGGUGAGGUAACGGCCCACCAAGGCGACGAUUGGUAGCCGGACUGAGAGGUUGAACGGCCACAUUGGGACUGAGACACGGCCCAG